Molecule: ribosomal RNA, 250 nt
Filed under: uncultured bacterium
Lineage: Bacteria
Description: partial 16S ribosomal RNA
Rfam family: Bacterial small subunit ribosomal RNA
Source: RNAcentral
UACCUACGGGGCGCAGCAGUAGGGAAUCUUCCACAAUGGACGAAAGUCUGAUGGAGCAACGCCGCGUGAGUGAAGAAGGGUUUCGGCUCGUAAAGCUCUGUUGGUAGUGAAGAAAGAUAGAGGUAGUAACUUGCCUUUAUUUGACGGUAAUUACUUAGAAAGGCACGGCUAACUACGUGCCGGCAGCCGCGGUAACACGUAGGUGGCAAGCGGUGUCCGGAUUUAUUGGGCGGAAAGCGAGUGCAGGCGG